CCUACGGGAGGCAGCAGUGAGGAAUAUUGGUCAAUGGGCGAGAGCCUGAACCAGCCAUGCCGCGUGCAGGAAGACGGCCCUACGGGUUGUAAACUGCUUUUCUGCGGGAAGAACGGCCCCGACGCGAUCGGGGUGUGACGGUACCGCAGGAAUAAGGAUCGGCUAACUCCGUGCCAGCAGCCGCGGUAAUACGGAGGAUCCGAGCGUUAUCCGGAUUUACUGGGUUUAAAGGGUGCGUAGGCGGCUCCCUCAGUCAGCGGUGAAAUGUGCAGGCUCAACCUGCAACCUGCCGUUGAUACUGGGGAGCUUGAGUUGGGUUGAGGCAGGCGGAAUGUGCGGUGUAGCGGUGAAAUGCAUAGAUAUCGCACAGAACGCCGAUUGCGUAGGCAGCUUGCCAAGCCCACACUGACGCUGAGGCACGAAAGCGUGGGGAUCAAACAGGAUUAGAUACCCUGGUAGUCCACGCCGUAAACGAUGAUCACUCGCUGUUGGCGAUACACAGCCAGCGGCCAAGCGAAAGCGAUAAGUGAUCCACCUGGGGAGUACGGCCGCAAGGCUGAAACUCAAAGGAAUUGACGG
RNAcentral lists this ribosomal RNA (579 nucleotides) under uncultured bacterium. RNAcentral describes it as "bacterial SSU rRNA". It matches the Rfam family "Bacterial small subunit ribosomal RNA", at positions 338 to 916 of the family's 1533-position model. The record is from RNAcentral.